CCUANGGGGGGCUGCAGUAACGAAUCUUCCGCAAUGGGCGAAAGCCUGACGGAGCGACGCCGCGUGUGGGAUGAAGAUCUUCGGAUUGUAAACCACUGUCAGGGAUUACCAAGCGAUGGGGACGAAUAGUCCCCGGAGUUGAGGAGUCCCAGAGGAAGCCACGGCUAACUUCGUGCCAGCAGCCGCGGUAAGACGAAGGUGGCAAGCGUUGUUCGGAAUCACUGGGCUUAAAGAGCAUGUAGGCGGCUCAUCAAGCGUCUUGUGAAAUCCCUCGGCUCAACCGAGGAAUUGCUGGGCGGACUGAUUGGGCUUGAGGCAGGUAGGGGCGCGUGGAACUCUUGGUGGAGCGGUGGAAUGCGUAGAUAUCAAGAGGAACGCCAGAGGCGAAAGCGAUGCGCUGGGCCUGUCCUGACGCUGAGAUGCGAAAGCCAGGGGAGCAAACGGGAUUAGAUACCCCUNUANUC
RNAcentral lists this ribosomal RNA (464 nucleotides) under uncultured bacterium. Its description in RNAcentral is "bacterial SSU rRNA". It matches the Rfam family "Bacterial small subunit ribosomal RNA", at positions 338 to 795 of the family's 1533-position model. The record is from RNAcentral.